ACGUUUUAUCUGAGCGUCUCCGUCGCCGUGAGCUGUCGCCGGUUGUUUUCUUGUUGGUUCUCUCUCGCCUCUGUCUUGUUGAGCGUCGGCCACCAUCCGUACCGCACGCCCGAGGUUCCUACCCCGCCGUUGCUGCAAGCAGCGAGAAAGUCGACGACUGCGCAGAAGGGAGCGGCGGCAGCUCACUGUGUCGCGUGCGUCUGUGAAGUCAUCUCAGACAUGCGAGGCGGAUUUUGCUAUCACUGCCUCGACCGUCAGCCCCGCAUAACUGUUCCAGAGCCCGCAGCGCCGUGAUUUCUGUUGGCUGGUUUCACCGCCUCCGGUAUUUUUUGUUUUGCUUUCCUUGCCGUCUAUCAGUCCACUUCGGUGUUGCCGUGGCUCUUGUCUCUGUCCCGUCCCGCGCAUCAGCCGCGCCACCACUCCCCCUCGCUCCCUCCCUGUGCACACGUUUCGAGUGCGCUGAUCACAGCUUGCAGGGGGCACACAUACUUUGGAUCGGCACUUCUUGCAUUCGCUUCUUGUGUGUAAGCGCGCCGAGCACCGAUAAUGGCACGCACAUCGUGGAGCUCGAGCUCUACCGGCUCCAUCAGUGCUGGCAGCGAUGAGAGCUACUGCCGCAGUGAGCCGGCCAAGGGAGGCAGUUUCAUGGAUCAGCUGCUGGCGAUCCUGUACCGCACGCUCCGUCAGACGCUGCGCACCAAGGCGAUUUUGUUCAUGGAAAUUGUUCUGCCGCUCAUGUUCAUCGUCAUUACGCUCAUUUUGUGGUUAGUGUGGUUGCCCUUCCAAGGCCGUUCGAGGCAGUUCAUCGACUACACGCCCUACGCGUCCUCUGCGGCUACGCUGCACAAACAGCUCACCUGUUUCAACAGCUCGGAGGGAGAGCCCAUCCCGGGGCUGUGUGAUUGCGCCUGGAUAUCCAUACUCAGCAACUACACGGUCUUGUGCGCCGGCGACUACGACACGAUCCCGUACAAGAACCUCUGCUAUGUCGACCUCCCGUUCGACUUCAGCAACUUCAAGGUCAACGGCUACGCCGUUGGGAACAUCACGGGGGCCAACAAGCUGGUGCAGGUGUGGGUCAACUCGUACAACACGAGCCUGUUUGUGAUCCCGACGCUGGAUGAGGUGAUCAUCUUCCACUGGCUGGCUCGGAUUAGCAGGUCAAAAACGAAGAGCGAUGGCAACCUCCUCUCCGCUGGCAUCGCGGCUGGUUUGAUGCCCAACUCGAAGCAGUCUUCUGUUUUGUGCUCCGGCGCCCUGUACUUCGUCGGCAGCUCAGCGCAGGUAGACCCGCUGCUGGAUUACUUCCGAAAGGAGUCGGUGCUCUUCGACAAGGUGUACGGCGGCACCUACGCAACCGUGGUAGAGGCGGAGGCCAAGGUACGCGCCACGGAAUGGAAUUGGGCCAUCAUCGAACUCAACGGCUUCGAUGCGAGCGCGUUUGACGUGACCAUCCGCAUGAACUCGACCGCGCUGCCGACGUUUGCGCUUCCGUACGACAAGAGCUAUGGCGGCGGCUUCUACAACAGCCGUGCCGACCUCUACGCCGUCGCCGGGUUUCUGUCCAUUCAGCAGAUCAUCUCGGAAUACUACCUGAAGCUGGUCGUGGGGAGCACCGCCACCGGCACAGAUUUACCGCUGGACCAUUACGUGGCUGUCGCUGGCUACGCCAGUUUCAUCACGCAGCCGCUCCUCACCACUGCCAAUAUCUUGCUGCCGCUCAUCUUCGUCAUGGCGUACCUCUACCCCGUCUCGCAGUUCACGAAGCGCAUCGUGCUGGAGAAGGAGCUGCGGAUCCGCGAGGCCAUGCAGAUCAUGGGGCUCGGCAACGCCCCGAUCUACAUUUCGUGGUACCUCACCUUCUUCUUGCCGAACUUCUUUGUCACGAUCGUCACCCUCGUCGUGAUUCGGAUGACGUACAUCACAAUCACGAACAUCCUUAUCCUGUUCCUGGUGUACUACAUCUACCUCAUCACCUGCGUACCCCUAGCUGGCUUCUACUCGGCCUUCUUCAGCAAGGCUCGCCUCGCCUCCUUGCUGACGCCGCUCAUCUACUUCGUGUUCGCCAUGCCAGUCUUCGCGAUUCAGAGCGCCAAUACCGCAAUAAUAACCGCCUUUUGCAUCUUCCCGCCCACCGCCUACGCCGUCACGAUGCUCGGCAUUAUUGAUCACGAAAUAGCCGGCGGCUUUGCGGAAGCCAGCUGGCACGACGCCCUCGACACGCCUCCGGUGUAUCUGGCCAUCGUCAUGAUGGCCGUGGACUUUGUCUUCUUCAACCUGCUUAUGCUCUACCUCGACAACGUUAUGCCGAAGCAGUGGGGUACGCGCAAGCACCCGCUCUUCUUCAUCAUUGACCCCGUCAUGCGGUGCUUCAACUCGAAGCACAAGCGCCUCGAGGGCGGCGCCGACGGGCGCGCCGAGAACGGCGUGUUCGAGGACGUCGACGGCGACGACGACGCGGUGAUUUUGGACGGCCUGCGCAAGGAGUACUCGCGCGGCGGCAAGAGGUUCGUUGCGGUGAACAACCUGUACUGGGGGAUGCGCGAGGGCGAGAUCUCUGUGCUGCUGGGGCACAACGGCGCCGGCAAGACGACGGUGCUGAACAUGAUGACGGGGAUGGUCGAGCCGGACGCGGGCGACUGUUACGUCUACGGCAGCUCUGUGCGGACGGCGAAGGCCGACGUGCGCCAGCAGAUCGGAUACUGUCCGCAGCACAACAUCCUGUGGGGCGAGCUGACGUGCCGCGACCACCUGGAGUUCUUUGGGCGGAUUAAGGGGUUGCGCGGGUGGGAGCUGGAGAAUGCCGUGUGCCGGAUGUUGCACGAGACGGACCUGCUGGAGAAGAUGGACCAGCCGGCGAAGAGCCUGUCGGGGGGGCAGAAGCGCAAGCUCUCGGUCUCCAUCGCCUUCGUGACUUGCAGUCGCCUCGUCUUCCUGGACGAGCCCACGGCCGGCAUGGAUGUGGGUGCGCGGCGAUACACGUGGGAGCUGCUGCGGCGCAUGUCCGCUCAUCACACCAUUUUCCUGACGACGCACUACAUGGACGAGGCAGAUCUGCUGGGGCACAAGAUCGGGAUCAUGAGCCAGGGGCGACUGAAGUGCUCGGGCAGCAGCAUGUUUCUGAAGAGCCACCUCGGGUUCGGGUACAGCAUUACGAUGUCCCUUUGCGACGCCGCUUCCGUGAACGCAAUCUCGAAGCUCGUGCAGUCAUCGGUGGACGGCGCUCACAAGGUUGGGUUGAACGGGUGUGAGGUGAUGUACCGACUGCCCAACGAGCGUGUCGAACAGUUCCCGGAGUUUCUGGAUCGACUGGAGGCGGUGAAAGACGCGCUCGGCGUUCGCGGCUACUCGCUGUCGGCGACGACGCUAGAGGAGAUAUUUCUUCGCAUGUCCAACGAGGACAUCGAGCGGGAGCGCGAAGAAGACCCUCUGAUGCAGCUGCACCCAGAUAUCACCGCUGCGCAGGAGAGUUGCAUAUGGAACUGUGAGAUAGUGGAGGGGCGCAAGGCGAUGCUGUGGUCGCAGUUCAAGGCGAUGAUGACGAAGCGCAUGUGGAAUGGCCUGCGGGAUCGCAAGAUGCAGUUUUUCCAGGUGGUGUGCCCGGUGAUUUGCAUUUUGAUUGCUAUGCUGCUCUCACUCAUCUCCCUCAACGGCCCCGACACCAUAACGCUGAACAAGGAAAUCUACCCCGGCGAGGUUCUGGUGGAGAUGAACGGGUGCGAUGAGCUGCUCGGCCCCAACGCCUCCUUCGACAACUUCACAGUGCGGCACCAAAAAUACAUGAAUGCGCUGAACUUGUCCACCUACAUGGUCGACACGUUUCUCUCUCAGCCCACGUUGCGCGUGGAGGGGCUCGUGUGCCGCGAUCCAGACUGGGCAAACGCCGUGAAGACACCGAACAACGUGAUACACAUACUGAACUCGUCCACCUAUCACCAGGGGCCCAUCUCCGUGAACUCCAUCUACCAGGCACUCUACAGGAAGUAUACGGGAAAAAAUGCCCGCUUUACGCUGGUGGCGGGAACGAUGCCGCGCACCAAGCAAGAGAAGGUGACGCAGGACGCGCUGAAGACGAUUCUCAUGGGCGCGAUUAUCAUGAUCCCGUUCACGUUCCUGCCGUCGAACGUGGUGGCGUGGGUGGUGAAGGAGCGGGAGUGCAAGGCGAGACAUCUGCAGAACGUCUCGGGGCUGAGCUUUUACAUCUACUGGCUCACGAAUUUUCUCUUCGACAUGGUCGCCUACAUCAUCUCCAUGUGCCUCGUCAUCGUCAUCUUCCUCAUGUUCAGCCGCGAUGAGUACGUGGCCAAGGACCGUAUCGGCGCCGUGUUCGUCCUCUUCUUCAUCUACGGCCUCUCGAGCACGACCGCGGGGUACAUGUGCAGUUUCCUCUUCGACGAGCACUCCAACGCGCAGACGAUGGUGAUGGCCGCCAGCUUCGUCGCCGGGUUUCUUCUCGUCAUGGUCGUGUACAUCAUGUCGCUGCUCUCACAGACCAUGGCGGCGGCCGAUGUCCUCCGGUGGAUCACGCGCAUCGUGCCAAGUUUUGCCAUUGGCGAGGGCAUCAUCAACUUGGCGAUGCUGACGCAGCGGCAGGCGAUCGUAGGCGGCGUGACGGCGUGGUCAAUGGACACGAUCGGGUGGGCGUGCGUGUACAUGUCAGUCGAGUUCCCGCUGUUUUUCGCAAUCACCCUCUGGAUCGACCACCCGCGGCGGCGCAUGUGGGGACAGCGCAACAACUACGACGUCGACGCGGCUCCGCAGACGGUGUCGGAAGAGGACUCCGACGUUGAGAAGACGCGUGAAGAAGUGUACAAAGAGGAGGCUGAGGGCGUCAACGACGACAUGGUGCGCGUGGUGGACCUCCGCAAGGUGUACCCUAACGGCAAGGAGGCGGUGCGCAACGUCACCUUCUCCGUGGCCCCCGGCGAGGUGUUCGGCUUCCUCGGCACGAACGGUGCUGGUAAGACGACGACGAUUUCGAUGCUGUGCCAGGAAUUCAUUCCGACAAGCGGCAAGGCGUACGUCUGCGGCUACAACAUUGUGGAGAACAGCAUCGAGGCGCUGCAGUGCAUCGGGUACUGCCCGCAGUUCGACGCGUGCCUGGACCUGCUGACGGUGAAAGAGCACCUGGAGCUGUACGUGGGCGUGCGAGGUAUUCGGUACGAAGAGCGUGAUGUUGUCAUCGACGCCUUGCUGCGCAUGUGCGAACUCUCUACUUAUCGCUACACCCUAUCCUCGGAGCUGUCCGGUGGCAACCGGCGCAAGCUGUCUGUGGCGCUUUCUCUCAUUGGAGGGCCUCGAGUCGUCUUCCUGGACGAACCGUCGGCCGGCAUGGACCCUGUGGCGCGGCGCGGGUUAUGGAAUGCAAUCGAAAAGGUCGCCGACAACAGCUCCGUUGUGCUGACGACGCACCACCUGGAGGAGGUGGAGGCGCUUGCGCAUCGCGUGGCGAUCAUGGUGGAUGGCACCCUGCGCUGCAUCGGCGACAAGACUCACCUGAAGAACAAGUUCGGCACCGGCUUUGAGAUGAGCGUACGUGUGGGUGCAGAGGAGGACAUGGGGAAUGUGCACACGUGGGUGAAGACACGGUUCCCCGACGCGACGAUGAAUGAGUGUAAGGGGCAACGUUUUGUCUACACGCUGCCGGCCAACGUCGCCCUCUCGGAUGUCUUCCGUCUCUUGCAACAGAAGAAGGAGACGCUGAACAUUACGGACUACAGCGUGUCGCAGACUUCCAUCGAACAGGUGUUCCUGAAGAUCAGCGGAGAACUAGAGGAGGCGACCGCCUUCCGUCGCACGCUGGAGGACACGCUCGCGCUGCCGAGUAGGAAGAGCGCCUUGGCGGAUGCCGCGAAUUUCGACCCGGCAACUCGCAACUUGUUUCUCGGCAGGUCGAGAUAGAGCCAUUCGGUGUUGCGUGACGGCGGCGGGGAUCGCGGGUGGCGGGAUAGGAGGAAAUAAGGCGCGUCCGCGAAAGCGGGUCGUCUUCAGCUGGAGUAUGCACGACUCUUUCCAGCAUGAGGGUACCCGCGCCCCUUCCUCCUCUUCUCUUUCGCCCGGAACUGAUCGUUGCGUUGUCGGACACAUCGCCCGUUCUGUGCCGUUUAUAGACGACACUUGCUGGGGUACGUUUUCGUCAUUUCUAACCCCGAUGUGUCCGAGAGGAGAGGAGGAAGGUGCAACCUGUUCACCAGCCUGCGUGGUGCUUCGAUGUGCGCCCGCCACCUCCUCGGCGUUGGGUUACUCUUGUCGCUUCGUCUUGGAUGAAGUGCAUUGGAACCUUGUGCUGGCAUGUGCAUACUCGUUUUUUAUUAUUUCUUUUCGCUCUCCUGGUGUGAGACCGUGCUUCAGCAUCACGGUGAUCGCUGUGUGUGUGUGCGUGGGCGGUGGGGGAGGGGGGCUCUUCAGUUUCUCCUUGUGCGUGGGCGUAUGUGUGUAUGUUUCUCAUUUCUUCGUUCGCUUUUCCAUAUUUUGAUGUGAAUGACGGAUCAACUCUACCGGGUGCGUGGUUCCCGUUUCGCUGCUUUGGUGGACCACCUCACAUCGACCGUGCCUCUACUUGUCCAUGUGCAAUUCCGCGUUGUGUUCUCGCCCAGUCGCCUUUUUUUUUUCGCUCUCUUGCCCUCCCCCUUCCGCUUCACCAUCGACCGCUCCUCACACCUUCUGUCUCCCGAAGACUCCGUCUUGCUCGAAGGGCAGGCACCUGCGACUCACGCGUCACGUCACGCGGUGAUGGAGGCUCAUGUUAGCCCACACACACACACACACACACAUGUAUUCAUUUCUUUGCUUACACGCGCCGUUGAGAUGUAUCUCCCUUUUUAUGCUCUCCUACCCACCUUUUACUUGCUUUUUGUGCUCAUCUUGUACGGGUGUUUUCUGUGAGAGGCACCGCCAGUGGCGGCGACGCCCCGGACGAUCGCUCGCCUCUCAUGUGAUUGCCAGUCAUUUUUCGGGAGCGCUCUCGCCUGUCAUGCCGCCUCCAGCCGCACCCCUCACUACCGCGGAUGAACUUCCGCAUGCGAAUCGCGUUUUCUUUUCCCCUUUUCUUUGCAUUUAUGCCACACAUCGCUGUCUCUCUCUCUGUGUUUUUUUUGACGUUUUCUAUUCUCUCCUUUCGUCUUGUCCGUCUGACCGCGUCCAACUCCCGUGUCGGUUGCUUCUCUCUCCGACUUGUUGUGAAGAAGGCGAGGGGAUAUCAGCGCAUGCCUCAACAACGCGCAAUGACGGUCGAACUGCCACCACCGUCGGUGUGCGCUGAUUCUUGGGGGAGGAGUAUGUGUGUAUCCAUGUCUGCGUGCAUCUUCACGAGGUUGCCUGUGUGUGCUCACAUCAUUGUUUUUUUCUUUUUUGCCGUUCUUGGCAUACGCCAACCUGUCCCAGUGCUUCCAUCUCUUUCACGUAAUCCUUCUUCCCGGCUCACAAGGUGGCCGAGUCUCUCCUCGUGACCUACCCGUUCUGGCCCUAUUUCCUUGUGUCUCUUCACCGUCGCCGGAGCUCCGCCUAUUUGUCCCGUCGCUCCUCACUUUCUCUCUCGCUGCGACAUCGCCUUUUCGUUGCGCCCCCUGCUGUUGUGUGCGCACACUGGUGCUUCCCGUAAGUGGUGCGUUGCCGUUUGUCGUGAUUCCUGUAGGCGUGUCGAUGGUGCGAGUGUACCAACCGGGUCUGCAGCACCUCCAGUCAUCGCUGACAGAGGGGGAGUACGAGACGAGGGAGGCAGAGGAACGUGUCGGUGAGGGCGGUAAAGGGAAGCCAACUCCACUGUCCGUCUCUCCUCCAUUUCUAUUGCCAACAUGUGAACAGCUCGCCAAUGUUGCUAUUAUCCUCUGUUUUCUUCUGGAUCAGGGCCACGCCUUCUGUGCUCCCUGCCUUCUGGUCUAUUCUUUUUCUUGGUCGCCUCGCAUGCGCACAUGCACAGACAUCAACGCGUGCGCCCACGGACGAGCGUACGUGAACACAGAGAGCGAGACAGACUAACGGGCAGACAGGGUCAGAGAGAGCGCGAGCAGGGGAAACAUCGGCCAUGUGCGACUCUGAGUGUGCGCAUGCGCAGUCUGUGUUUAUUACGCCUGCUGAAACGUGCAGCGGCGGAGGAGGGGUCUCUCACUGGCUACCGGUCGCCGUCGCCUUCCCUCCCUCCUGCCAACCCGCGCACACAGACGUGGCAGGGCGCUAGAGCUUCCGCGCGAGUAGGAUCGAGCCAUGGAUGCUGCUUACGCGUUGUUGUUCUCCCUGCUUUGCCGCGACCCAGCAUUGCCGAUGUCUUGGCUUAUGCGUGCCUGUGCUCUCUCUCUCGUGGGUAGAGCGAACCGCACGCGACGGUUCUCUUGGUGUGCUACUCUCUCUCCUUUUCUGUGUGCGCUCGUGUGAUAGGUCCUCUUUUGUUGUUCAGCGCUCGCCGCACCAUUUUUUUUCUUGCAGUUUGUGCGUACGAUUUUGUCGUGCUGUCGGGCGUUCGGUCUAUAUGGGGGUUGCUGCUGUGGUGGUUGCUCCGGCGUCUCUCUCUGUCUCCGUCAUCUCUGUCUGUGUUUCACGUCUCGGACCCCUCCGAGUCGUCGUCUCGCCGCUCGCCCGCUGCCCGCUGUCGAGGAGUGCUUGCGCCUGUGAUUUUGUUUGAUUUUGAAGCGUGCGUGCUCGCUUACAACUGCGCAGCGACACUAGCGCACAGCCGCCUUCGCCAAUUGUGUCCGUGGGUGCCGGGGGACAAACAGCUGAAGCCCCAAGGUUGCUCCCUACGGCUAUCUGCGAGGGGCUGUUUCAGGGUUAUUCGUGGGCUCGUGAGACGCGCUCGAAAACAGAAUGACUUUCCAUUGACAAGCAUCAGGACCUUGCGAUGCUCGGACGAGGCGGGUGAUGGGCGAAGGACGAGAAGAGGAGUCGUGAGCCGAGCAUACUCGAUCGCUUGAGAGAAGAAGCGCAUUCCACUCAGAGCUCUGACACCUGACGUGUUCGCGCAGACGGUGUGUGACGGUGGGGGGGGGAGGGUCUUUUUCUCACUCGUGUCAGUGUAACUACGAGCCGGUCCCGCGCUUAGGCCGAACAGGCUACAGGCCCAUGGAGCAAGGCCAGGGAAGUCACACAGGCCACUUGUUGAAGCAGAGUGAAUGCCGUGACGUUUCCUUGACGCGCAGAUGCCAGGACAGACCAGAACCUUCGCGGGCGUUGCCAAACAGCGCAGUUUUCUGAAGCACAGAGGGGCAGGGUGGCGAUAGUGGCCACAAAGACCUUCCACGUCGUACCGGACAUGUGCUGUGCCGUCGAAAAAAAUUGCGGGGCAACGCCGAAG
RNAcentral lists this unclassified non-coding RNA (9286 nucleotides) under Leishmania donovani. RNAcentral's name for it is "gene:LdHU3.11.1560(CDS-product:ATP-binding_casset te_subfamily_A_member_1_putative)". The record is from RNAcentral. Lineage: Eukaryota; Euglenozoa; Kinetoplastea; Trypanosomatida; Trypanosomatidae.